Molecule: ribosomal RNA, 253 nt
Filed under: uncultured bacterium
Lineage: Bacteria
Description: partial 16S ribosomal RNA
Rfam family: Bacterial small subunit ribosomal RNA
Source: RNAcentral
UACGGGGGGGGCAAGCGUUGUUCGGAAUUACUGGGCGGAAAGGGCUCGUAGGCGGCCAACUAAGUCAGACGUGAAAUCCCUCGGCUUAACCGGGGAACUGCGUCUGAUACUGGUUGGCUUGAAUCCGGGAGAGGGAUGUGGAAUUCCAGGUGUAGCGGUGAAAUGCGUAGAUAUCUGGAGGAACACCGGUGGCGAAGGCGGCAUCCUGGACCGGUAUUGACGCUGAGGAGCGAAAGCCAGGGGAGCAAACGGG